Molecule: ribosomal RNA, 488 nt
Filed under: uncultured bacterium
Lineage: Bacteria
Description: bacterial SSU rRNA
Rfam family: Bacterial small subunit ribosomal RNA
Source: RNAcentral
UGAACGCUGGCGGAAUGCUUUACACAUGCAAGUCGAACGGCAGCACGGAGAGCUUGCUCUCUGGUGGCGAGUGGCGAACGGGUGAGUAAUAUAUCGGAACGUGUCCAAUAAUGGGGGAUAACGAGUCGAAAGAUUCGCUAAUACCGCAUACGACCUACGGGUGAAAGCGGGGGACCGUAAGGCCUCGCGCUAUUGGAUUGGCCGAUGUCUGAUUAGCUUGUUGGCGGGGUAAAAGCCCACCAAGGCGACGAUCAGUAGCUGGUCUGAGAGGACGAUCAGCCACACUGGGACUGAGACACGGCCCAGACUCCUACGGGAGGCAGCAGUGGGGAAUUUUGGGCAAUGGGGGCAACCCUGAUCCAGCAAUGCCGCGUGUGCGAAGAAGGCCUUCGGUUGUAAAGCACUUUGUCAGGAAGAAUCUUUAGGCGAAUAACCUGGAAGGAUGACGGUACCUGAAGAAUAAGCACCGGCUAACUACGUGCCAGCAG